This 706-nucleotide ribosomal RNA is filed under the name Procladius squamifer. RNAcentral describes it as "partial large subunit ribosomal RNA". Lineage: Eukaryota; Metazoa; Arthropoda; Insecta; Diptera; Chironomidae. The record is from RNAcentral.
UGUCUAGGGGUUCAAACCUAAAGAACCCAAAUAUCUAAACGAAGAGAUUCAAUACUCUCCCCUUAAAAGGAGAGUGUGCACUUCUCUUUUAGUAAGACGUUGUGAUCCAUUAGAAAUUGAUUGUCCCCUCUGGUUUGGCAAUCAUUGGGCUACCAAUAGUCUGAUAUUGAAGUUCAUAAUGACAAACAAUGCAGUCAUUUCUAACGAUUGUGUAUAUUGUCUUGUGAGCAUGUCAUGUACUGGUGUAGCCGUCUGAUGGAUUUUAAAGAUUGCAACAUUAAUAUUCUUGUAAUAUUAUGACAGUCAUGCUGUCGAUAGCGUUGUAUAUCCGAUCAACAACGGUUACAUUUGGGAUACCUUUGGGACCCGUCUUGAAACACGGACCAAGGAGUCUAUCUAGUGUGCAAGUAAAUGAGAAUUUGAAAACUUAUUUGCGUAAAUAACUUGACUGUUUUUAAUGGGAUUACGAGUGCACCGCCAUCAUACGGACACUUCUCCAUCCCGGGGUAUUUUCACAACAUAUAGUYUACUUCGGUGUUCUAUAUAGAAAAUAUACCAUGAGCAUACUGGAUAUGACCCGAAAGAUGGUGAACUAUGCCUGAUCAGGUUGAAGUCAGGGGAAACCCUGAUGGAGGACCGAAGCAAUUCUGACGUGCAAAUCSAUUGUCAGAAUUGRGCAUAGGGGCGAAAGACCAAUCGAACCAUC